AAAUGGAAACUGCAUUUCAGAAAGAAUGACAAGGAUUAAAGUUUAGAAUAGAAAUGGUUUUUUAUCAAUUCUAAUAACACAAUAAUGGUUAACAAAGCAUAUUGCUUCCAUCUAAUACACAGUAAACCUCUAAGCGAAAGUAAAAAAAGACUGUCAGGUAUAAAAAAAUGUAGAAAAAAGAAGUAAAAGUCUUUUAGAAUUUUCAGGAAUUCAGAGACCUGAGGCCUCUGUGCACAAUACAUUUGCUAUUAGAGAUUUGAGGUCUCUGUGCAGAAUAUAUUUGCUCCCUUCCCUAUCUAAAUUGUACUUAUACUUAGCUUUAAAAAAACUUCAACAAAUAAUAAUUAUAUUUAUGGGGUACAAUAGGAUGCUUUGAUAUAUGUUUACAUUGUAUAGUGAUUAAGCUAAUUAACAUACACGUCACCUCACAUACUUAUUUUUUGUAGUGAGAUCAUUUAAACUCUUUUAGCAAAUUUGAAGUUAUACAGUAUUUUAACUACAGUCAUCAAGUUGUGCAACAGAUCUCGCAAAUUUGUUCUCUUGUCUAACUAUAAUUUUGUACCUUUUGAACAACAUCUCCCCUUUCCCCAUCUUACCAGCCCCACAUUCUCUGGUGACUACCAUUCUAUUUUCUAUUCCAAUGAGUUUGACUUUUUUAGAUAACAGUUAGCUUAAUUCAGGGGUUUUUAGGCUGGAGCUCAUGGUUCCCCAAAGCAUCACUUCAUAGAGAGAAUUCAGAGAGUCUGUGAACUUGGGUGAGCAAAAAGUUAUUUCUCUAUUUUCAUCUAAAUCUAACUGAAAGUUAACUUUUCUUCAGUUACAAAUGUCAACAUCAACCACCGUUGCAUCAGCAGUACCAGCAACUUUGCCACCAAAAAAAAGAUACCACAGCAUUCAGUCGAAAGGUGGGCGUGAUGAUCCACAUAUGUCCAAUGAGUUAUGAGGGAAGACCUGGUGGAAGACUUCAGAGAUAACUUUCUGUGCUCUUAAAAAGAGACACACAGGAGGCCGGGUGUGGUGGCUCAUGCCUGUAAUCCCAGCACUUUGGAAGGCCAAGGUGGGCAGAUCACGAGGUCAGGAGUUCGAUCCAGUCUGACCAAUAUGGUGAAGCCCCAUCUCUACUAAAAAUACAAAAAUUAGCAGGGCAUAGUGGCAUGCACCUGUAAUCCUAGCGACUCGGGAGGCUGAGGCAGAAGAAUCGCUUGAACCCAGGAGGCAGAGGUUGCAGUGAGCAGAGAUCGCGCCACUGCACUCCAGCCAGGGUGACAGAGUGAGACUACGUCUCAGAAAAAUAAAGAAGAGACACACAGAAAGAAAAGGCACUCUCCCGCUGGAGGUUUUCAUGGCUUUUAUGGUUUUAGAAUUGUGACAGUCAUUUUGCAAUCAUUGCAGGAGGUAAGGUGGCAUGCUAAAAUGGCAAGGUGGAAAGAUGGAAAGAACCUGCAUUCUUCCUAUGCUAUUUAGCCUCUGAAGUAAGAAACCUUAGAACUGUUCUACCACAGUCCUUUCUGUUAUCUGUAAACUUUUCUAUUUCUUAAUAAAUGAACAAAUUUCUUACUGCUCACAACAUCCUGAAACACAAGCUCACUAUAGAAACUUGAGUAUAUGCAGAAAAAAAUCUGAAGACGAAAAUAAUUUUCAGA
Long non-coding RNA from Papio anubis (olive baboon), 1643 nucleotides. Lineage: Eukaryota; Metazoa; Chordata; Mammalia; Primates; Cercopithecidae. The record is from Ensembl.